Molecule: ribosomal RNA, 810 nt
Filed under: Tolypocladium endophyticum
Lineage: Eukaryota; Fungi; Ascomycota; Sordariomycetes; Hypocreales; Ophiocordycipitaceae
Description: eukaryotic LSU rRNA
Rfam family: Eukaryotic large subunit ribosomal RNA
Source: RNAcentral
AGUAACGGCGAGUGAAGCGGCAACAGCUCAAAUUUGAAAUCUGGCCCCCAGGGCCCGAGUUGUAAUUUGCAGAGGAUGCUUUUGGCGCGGUGCCUUCCGAGUUCCCUGGAACGGGACGCCAUAGAGGGUGAGAGCCCCGUCUGGUCGGACACCAAGCCAGUGUAAAGCUCCUUCGACGAGUCGAGUAGUUUGGGAAUGCUGCUCUAAAUGGGAGGUAUAUGUCUUCUAAAGCUAAAUACCGGCCAGAGACCGAUAGCGCACAAGUAGAGUGAUCGAAAGAUGAAAAGCACUUUGAAAAGAGGGUUAAACAGUACGUGAAAUUGUUGAAAGGGAAGCGUUUAUGACCAGACUUGGGCCCGGUGAAUCAUCCAGCGUUCUCGCUGGUGCACUUUGCCGGGCUCAGGCCAGCAUCAGUUCGUCGCGGGGGAUAAAAGCUUCGGGAACGUGGCUCCCUCGGGAGUGUUAUAGCCCGUUGCACAAUACCCUGCGGUGGACUGAGGUUCGCGCUCCGCAAGGAUGCUGGCGUAAUGGUCAUCAGCGACCCGUCUUGAAACACGGACCAAGGAGUCGUCUUCGUAUGCGAGUGUUCGGGUGUCAAACCCCUACGCGUAAUGAAAGUGAACGCAGGUGAGAGCUUCGGCGCAUCAUCGACCGAUCCUGAUGUUCUCGGAUGGAUUUGAGUAAGAGCAUACGGGGCCGGACCCGAAAGAAGGUGAACUAUGCCUGUAUAGGGUGAAGCCAGAGGAAACUCUGGUGGAGGCUCGCAGCGGUUCUGACGUGCAAAUCGAUCGUCAAAUAUGGGCAUGGGGG